GGAGUCUAGCAUGUGCGCGAGUCAUUGGGACUAGCGAAACCCAAAGGCGAAAUGAAAGUGAAGGCGCGCCUCGCGCGCGCCGAGGGAGGAUGGGCCGCGCAACGUCGCGGCCCCGCACUCCCGGGGCGUUUCGUUCUCAUCGCGAGAUGAGGCGCACCCGGAGCGUACACGCUGGGACCCGAAAGAUGGUGAACUAUGCCUGGUCAGGACGAAGUCAGGGGAAACCCUGAUGGAGGUCCGUAGCGAUUCUGACGUGCAAAUCGAUCGUCGGAACUGGGUAUAGGGGCGAAAGACUAAUCGAACCAUCUAGUAGCUGGUUCCCUCCGAAGUUUCCCUCAGGAUAGCUGGCGCUCGCUUCGCGAGUCUCAUCCGGUAAAGCGAAUGAUUAGAGGCAUUGGGGUCGAAACGGCCUCAACCUAUUCUCAAACUUUAAAUGGGUGAGAUCUCCGGCUUGCUUGAACGCUGAAGCCGCGAGAUUUUCACGAAAGGAUCAGGGUGCCAAGUGGGCCACUUUUGGUAAGCAGAACUGGCGCUGUGGGAUGAACCAAACGCAGAGUUAAAGCGCCCAAAUAGACGCUUAUGGGAUACCAUGAAAGGCGUUGGUAACUUAAGACAGCAGGACGGUGGCCAUGGAAGUC
RNAcentral lists this ribosomal RNA (638 nucleotides) under Eulichas sp. UPOL 000M22. RNAcentral describes it as "eukaryotic LSU rRNA". It matches the Rfam family "Eukaryotic large subunit ribosomal RNA", at positions 670 to 1262 of the family's 3401-position model. Lineage: Eukaryota; Metazoa; Arthropoda; Insecta; Coleoptera; Eulichadidae. The record is from RNAcentral.